RNAcentral lists this long non-coding RNA (1503 nucleotides) under Anser brachyrhynchus (Pink-footed goose). Its description in RNAcentral is "lncRNA (ENSABRG00000006052.1)". The record is from RNAcentral. Lineage: Eukaryota; Metazoa; Chordata; Aves; Anseriformes; Anatidae.
CAUGACACAGUUAAGAAAAAUAAUGAGGAAAGUGAAUCAUUAGCUACUAUGUCAUAAUGGUACAAAAAGAUUCCAAGUUACUGUCCAUAGGAGGCAAUGAUGCCACGUAAGCAACCUCCCUGCACUCUCCCAGGGGUUCACAGGGUGAAUUCAGUGCCAGAUAGCUGCUGACUGGGAGGGAGGAGGAGCAGGACCAGUAACGGGCACUUGAACGGUCCAUGAUGACUUUCAGAGUGCUUUUUGCUUGGAUGUACUCUGGCCAACUCGGAUGCCGCAGGGAAAGGUCCCAGCUCCUACCAAAUCCUGCAGUAGCUGAGGAAAUUGAGCACUUAAGCGACUAGUCUGUUGGCAUCAUUCCUGCUGAGCAGGUCAUCUUCUGUAGCUUGCAAAUCCCUAAAUCCCUCCUGAGACCAUGGAGGGGAGCAGACACAGCAGCAUCAAUCAAAAGACUGACAGCUGUGAUUCAUACUGAAGUGUUUCCUGCUAGAGCAGGAAAUGAGCUAAUAGAGCUAAUAGAGCUAAUGCAGGUGGCCUCUUCAGACAGAGGCUUUUUUUUUCUUUUCUUUUCUUUUUUUUUUUUUUUCCAGUUCUAUUAUGUCUUUCUUGUGGAAGGCACAGUUAUUCUUAUGUCUCCUUGUUCAUUUGGCUUGUUGGAGUAACCCUGCAGUAAAGGAUUGGAAAAACUUGUGGAUCUUCCCCUUUGGAUCUGCCUUGGGAGGUGGUUUGGACUACAGUGUGAUUUAUAUGUGCGGAGUGACAUACACCUGCUUACACACCAGCCUGGUUUGCACACCGGAGUCACGCUGGCUUAAGGUGGGCAGGAAAAUAAUCAUCUUGGAGGACUUUCCACUUCAAUCAUUGCACCACAGGAGAGCCUUAGUUUGUGUCUGAAUCAAACCUCUCAGGGAAUCCUUUCAAGGCCAUUUUCUUUUUCUGAGAAAUGGCUGAUCUUUUCUGAAGCACACGCAUAAGCACAAAGCAGAAUUAGCCCUCUGAGCAUCUGCUUUACAUGAGUUCAUCUCAUCCUGCCAAGCCUGCGUGUUUGUGGCUGCCUGUGGACCCAGUCUUCCCACCCUCCCACUUCUUGGGGCUUCAGCAUCUGCCAAUUGACUCUCUCAAUUGAGUCUGUAAGAUGGAACUAUUAAAAAUAUUGUUUGUCUUUGAAAUUGAAACUCAAAGGAGGGUUUUUAUUUUUUACCUAGAUCAUUGGUCCCAUGAGUUUACAUUGAUGUGUGGGAGGGAGGGAUGUAGAUUAGCUUGGAAGCAAGAGGAAGAGAUGAAGAAAGGUAUUAGUUAGGUCCACUCCCCCGCCAGACCUAGUAUUUUAUGAAACCACUUGCUUUGUAGUGAACCAGCCAUUUCCAUUUACUCCUUCUGUUUUUGUCUCUAUGUACCUUUCUUACAAAGUUUAGUGCUGUGUGUGUUUACGAGAUGAUUGAAGGCAGCCAGAGUUGUACUGCUCCAAACAAUAAAUGAAACUUUACUGCCCUGAAGAAAUGUUUU